GAUGAAGAACGUAGCGAAAUGCGAUAAGUAAUGUGAAUUGCAGAAUUCAGUGAACCAUCGAAUCUUUGAACGCACAUUGCGCCCGGCAGUAAUCUGCCGGGCAUGCCUGUCCGAGCGUCAUUUCUGCCCUCGAGCGAGUCCAGCAUCUAGGUGCUGGGCCCGCCCGGCGUUGGGGCACUACGGGAAGCCCUGUGCUGUCCCCCGUAGGCCCCGAAAUGAAGUGGCGGUCCUGCCGCGGCGCCCCCUGCGUAGUAUAACAGCUCGCUUCGGGACCCGGUGGAGGCCUGCCGUCAAACCUUACUCUCUAAGUUUGACCUCGGAUCAGGUAGGGUUACCCGCUGAACUUAAGCAUAUCAAUAGCGGAGGA
RNAcentral lists this unclassified non-coding RNA (367 nucleotides) under soil metagenome. Its description in RNAcentral is "partial contains 5.8S ribosomal RNA, internal transcribed spacer 2, and large subunit ribosomal RNA". The stretch from base 1 to 120 matches the Rfam family "5.8S ribosomal RNA", at positions 35 to 154 of the family's 154-position model. The record is from RNAcentral.